This 229-nucleotide ribosomal RNA is filed under the name uncultured bacterium. RNAcentral describes it as "partial 16S ribosomal RNA". It matches the Rfam family "Bacterial small subunit ribosomal RNA", at positions 118 to 347 of the family's 1533-position model. The record is from RNAcentral.
UGGGCAACCUGCCCUCAGCUCUGGGAUAACCCUGGGAAACCGGGGCUAAUACCGGAUACGACCUCCGCGGGCAUCUGCGGAGGUGGAAAGGUUUUCCGGCUGAGGAUGGGCCCGCGGCCUAUCAGCUUGUUGGGGGGUAACGGCCUACCAAGGCGACGACGGGUAGCUGGUCUGAGAGGACGACCAGCCACACUGGGACUGAGACACGGCCCAGACUCCUACGGGAGCA